GAGGGAAAAAAGGAUCUAAAAUUACAAAUGAACAAUAAAUCCUCCCGUUUGUUUUUCUUUUGCAUUUCUUCGGGCUCCAGCUCCGACUCCCCGACCAGCAGCAGGCCGAGGUCCGCUGCCUGCUGAGCGCGGAGCAGAGCCGAGCGACCCGGUGUCCUCCGCAGCCUCCACCGGGGUCUGAACGCCUCCAUCCGCUCUCAGCUCCGCCUCGGUCCCCGGGCAGUCGUCCAACCAACCAACCCCCCCAGCGGAAACCUUCCCGCAUUACAGCGUCCGAACCCGGCGGAGCCCUGGUCCAUGUGGGCACCGGGCAGCCGGGGCGAGCGCAACUCCUUCUGGCCGAGCAGAGCGCCCCAGAGGCGGGGGGAUGGAGCCGCUCUGUCCGCCCCUCUGGAGAGGGUGGGUCCGCAGACCCCACGCUGCUGUAGGUCGGUGUUAGUGUCACUCAGGAGUCGGAUGAUGCUCCGUUUUUCUUAGUUAAACCCCUUUAGAGGUGAUCAGUGACCACAGAGUGAGAGAAACUAACUGCUCGCUGGAAAACUAACUUUGAUUUUUACUGAAUGGAGUCAGACAGAAGGACCAGCUCUGUGGACAUUUGGACAAUUUCUGCAUCAUUUUGGACAAAUGUUGAUUCAUUUUGGGACAAAUUUUGAGUGAUUUUAGGAACAUUUUGAGUUAUUGUAGGAACUUUUCGAGCCAUUUGGAAUAAGUUUGCAUCAUUUUGGACAAAUUUUGUGUAAUUUGGGGAACAUUUUGAGUAAUUUUGGGAACUUUUUGAGCCAUUUGACCAAAUUUUCCAUCAUUCUGGACAAAUUUUGAUAGAUUUUGGGAACAUUUUGUGAAAUUCUGGGAACUUUUUUGAGCCAUUUGGACAAAUUCUACAUCAUGUUGGACAAAUAUUGAGUAAUUUGGGGAACUCUAUGAACAGCUCCUGAUGUCUCUGACUGGAGCUUUAGUUUGUGCUGAGCUGCUAACAGAGAACAUCUGGAUGUGCUGAGCUGCUGACAGAGAACAUCUGGAUGUGUUGAGCUGCUAACAGGGAACAUCUGGAUGUGUUGAAGCUGCUAACAGGGAACAUCUGGAUGUGUUGAAGCUGCUGACAGAGAACAUCUGGAUGUGUUGAAGCUGCUGACAGAGAACAUCUGGAUGUGUUGAGCUGCUAACAGGGAACAUCUGGAUGUGUUGAAGCUGCUAACAGGGAACAUCUGGAUGUGUUGAAGCUGCUGACAGAGAACAUCUGGAUGUGUUGAAGCUGCUGACAGAGAACAUCUGGAUGUGCUGAGCUGCUCUGUUGAACUGUGUGUUGGUGUUUAAUCUUUGUAACCCACAGAUGGAGCUGCUGUUCAAACAGUGCUGAGUGGGCGUUCCUGUUCCUGCAGGCUGGGCUUUGCUUUGGCUCUUGUUUUUGUGUCCUCUCCGCCUACUUGUUGAGUUCUUGUGUAACCGUCGGGUGUGUUGUCGUCGUGUUGUUGUUGUUGUUGAAGAGCAGCUGAUCAUGGACACACUGCCAUGUGGGUUGCUGACCGUCUGCUGGUGUGCGUUUUGUGUCACAGCUGAAGUCCACAGACAGAUGGAAGCCGUCGCUGGAGACGAUGUUCUUCUCGACUGUCGGUCUCUCCACAAUGACGUCACACUUCUGGAGUGGAUCAGACCCGACCUGAAGGCCGACGGAUACGUUUUCUUCUACCGCGAGAGGCGCUCGUAUGAAAACUAUCAGCAUCCAUAUUUUAAUGGCCGAGUGAAGCUGGGAGAUCUGCGGAUGGAAAACGGAAAUAUGUCUGUCCUCCUGACCAACGUACAGCCAGAUACAGACAACGGAACAUACCUGUGUGAUGUUUCUGGAGGAACCAAACGAAGAGGCAGGACAACUUCUUCUGAGAUCAAGCUGACCGUUUCCCCUGCAAAACCCAGAAACAUUCAGAAACAAAUCUGGAAUGGAGGAAACAAGGAUGGAGGAAACAGGGAUGGAGGAAAUAAGGAUGGAGGAAAUAAGGAUGGAGGAGACAAGGAUGGAAAUAAUCGAAGGCGUAAUGGAUUGAUAGUGUUUCUGUCACUUUCUGUUGCGAUGGCUUUUCUUGUUUUCAUUGUAAUCCGUAAAGAACAUAUGCCGAUCUCGAAAGAACAGAGGAAGAAUUCAGUUCCUCCUGAUGGAGCAGCAGCUGAACAGAUGUUGUGAAAGUUUUUCUGGACAGCAGCAGAACAAAGCACAGCUUCUGUAACUCUGAUGGAACCAGCAGCAGCAGAACAAAGAGAAUCCAGGUGUGGACCAACCAUGUGGUCUCUCCUUUAACUGCCACCUUAUGGUGGUGGAGGGUUUGUGAGCUCAGAGGAUGCUGGGAGAUCUGCUGUCUGGAGUUCAGCUCCUGGUAGGGUUUCUGUUGGCAGACUGGUCCAGAAACAUCAAGUCCUCCCAACAUCUCCAUCAUCUAGAUUUAUCCUGUGGAUUGUUGCUGCUGCUGCUGCUGCUGGUCUUCAUCAACUUUUCUACUCUGUUGGUUUGUCUGUAAACACUUCGCUGUUCAGAUCACUUCACUACCUUCCAGUUGCUGCCCGCAUAAAGUUCAAAACUAGAAUGAAAAAAUCUCCCUCCUACCUGAACUCUCUCAUCCAGAUCUACACUCCCUCCCUCCAACCACAGGAUUCUAAUCCAACCUCCACAGAGGUCCAGAGAUCUUCUCCUCUGUGGUUCCUCGGUGGUGGAACCAGUUGCCAAACUCUGUUCAGUCUUUAAGAAAAGACUAAAAACCAGAUCUUCACUGAACACCUUUAACUUGACAGACUGCAAAAAUAAAAAUAAAAAUAAAAAAAUCCUAGUACGUCUACUUCCUGUAGACACCACAGUUCUAUUAUCACACCUGAACUUGUUUCAUGGCUCUUAUCUGGGUUAUUUUCUCCUGACUAGAUCGUUGCUGGUGGUGGAUCUACUCUCAGAUGGACGUCUUUGGAAUGGAUACCGGAUCAUGUGACCUAAAUAUGUAGCGGGUGGCGGGAAUUGAUGGGACUCAGAAACACCCCCACAAUUUAAUCAGUUGUUCCUUGGAUCAUUUCUGAUGGAUAAGUCCUGAUAAGUCCUCAGUGGUGGAUUUGUAGUAGGAUCACAAUCAUGUGAUCAUGUAGCAUUCAUUUGUUGUCAUGGUUACAGUGACGCCGUGCCGCUAUCUGGCAAUGAUACAGAAAUCUUUAACUAAUCUGUAGAUCCAGACUAGGAGCUGCAUCACUGCCAAAAUCUAAUCACUUGGUCCUUGUGUCAUUUCUGACCUUCAAUGGAAAUUUCAUCCACAUCUGUUUAUGAGUGAUGUUGCUAACAGACAGACAGACAGACAGACAGACAGACAGACAGACAGACAGACGUACACCGAUCAUCACAUAACUCCACCGUUCUUUGGCGAAGUUGUGCGACGAUCACUGGAAAUAAAUCUGGAAAUAAAUGUGUUCCAAAGCUCUGCAUGUUAGAACCUGAUGAAAUGUUGUGGAUGUAAAGUGUUCUGUCAGAUGAGAUCAGAACCACAUAGAAAAGUUCUGAUUGUCCAGAAUGAAGCACAACUGAUGAACAGAACUUUAGAUUGAACUUGUUUUAUUGUUUAAUCUGUUAGUAGCUCUGAUGAUGGUCUAAACUGUCGUACAGGAUAAGCUAAUUUGAUAUAUUUUGUACAUUUUUAUACUACUCAGUGGUCUGUAAGUUUCAUCUUCAUCCUAUAUCAUGUUUUGUUGUUAGUCUGCAGAUAAAUGUAGUCCAGUAAAAUAACAUUGUUUGCUACUGAACUGUAGUGAAGGUUGAAUAGAAUAAACUGAACUGAUGCUGAUAGAAUUCUGUUUAUACUAUAACACAAUGGAAAUAUGGAACUUUACUGCUGCUUUUUGCACUUUGGCUUUGAUGCAAAACUGUUUGUCUUUGUUCUUGUAUUUGGACAGUAAAGUUGAAUCUACUCAGUGAUCUGUGCUUCAUUAUAAUUUCUGUAAAUAUAUUUAGGAUUUUAAAGCUGGUUUCUUUUCUGCAGCAGUGAUAAUAAAGGUUGUUUCCCCAGAUUGUGAUCCUGCUGGUUCAUGUCUGACUACAACCUGUUGAACUGGUUCAGAACAAACAUAGAUCAGGAGUUUCUACAGGAUCAGUCCAUAGAGAUUUUAUAAAACCAGUAAUAUAAUAAUGUGCUGUGUGGACAGAGCUGCACUUUAUUGUUGAACUGUGUGUAUUAGAGGUGUGUGUUGUGUUUCAUCUCCAUGCUGUCUGAGGAUCAUAGAACUGGACCGUCCUCAUUGACGUGGAGUUUAACCCUCUAAUCUCCAAAACCACUCAUCUGUAAUAUUUUAAAAAUGCCAGACAUUUAUUCUGAAAGUUUAGUUCCUCUUCCUGUAGCUCAGCUCUGAGUUUUGAACACAAACAUGAAGAAGUAGUUUGUUGUUCUCAGACCACAUUAACACGACUCUGCUGGAUGAAGACUGUUUUGUUGAUCACAGAUCUGUGCAGCACAAGAACAAACUCUGGAACUUCAUUAAAUGUUUUGAAUUUCAAAUGUGG
Long non-coding RNA from Amphiprion ocellaris (clown anemonefish), 4516 nucleotides. Lineage: Eukaryota; Metazoa; Chordata; Actinopteri; Pomacentridae. The record is from Ensembl.